RNAcentral lists this long non-coding RNA (345 nucleotides) under Rattus norvegicus (Norway rat). RNAcentral's name for it is "long non-coding RNA NONRATT032977". Lineage: Eukaryota; Metazoa; Chordata; Mammalia; Rodentia; Muridae. The record is from RNAcentral.
GGAUGAUGAUAAAUUUCUGUAUUCAUCAUUUUCUACUUUGAGCUUAGUGGAUAAUGCCAUACAUCGAACUUAAGCAUACUGUCACCACACAUGCUUUUCUCUGCUUGUAUUGAGGAUAUAGAGAAAUUGGAUUCAUUAUUCUUCCUAAGGCCACUGAUAGAGAACAUAGACUGUGAUUAAGACCCUUUAUAGGUCCUGUCAAUAUGCUGGAAUUACUCACAGGAGUCACACGAUCCAGGCAAAGGGUGAGAAUAUAUUUGAGGUGAGGUUUCUGGAAAGGGGAAUGUGACAUGGUAUUGAAGCCAGUGUGUUUAGAUUAAUCAAAUGAGAAAUAUGUAAUAUUUA